CUCCUCCUCCUUCUUCUCCUCUUCCCUUCCCUCCCCUGCGCCUUUUCCACUUCGCUGCUGCCUAUCAGCCCCAGCCGAAGCCGAAGCCAGACCUCUCUUUCAAUGACAGGGGGUGAUAAGAGACUCGGAGAAAACAGCAAGCUGUCUGGUCUGCUCAGGAAGUCGGGGACGGCUGGUAUUGUCCAUCAGCGGGGCCACGCGGCGGCCGGAGGCCGGGAACAAUGCUCCGCUCUGGGGAAAUGGGCUCACUCAGCGCCGGUGCUGGCAGCCCCACGGCCGGCACAGAUAAAGCUCCGAGGCAGGGGGAGCAGGGGGAGCCGGGCCCGGUGCCGCUGAGCUGGAGCCGUGCCCCCCUCACGGGCGAGGGGCCGCGGCCUGCCAGGGCCCCGGGGCCAGCACGGCCCGAGCUGCAGGAGCCAGAGCCCCUCACAGGGCUGAGCGCUGCUCAGGCCUGUCCUUUUGCUAAGCCAAGCCUGAGAAAACAUCUUGGCCGGUGCCGUCCCUCGAGCCAGAUAAAAUUCCUGCCGAAUUACAGCCCGAUAUCCCCGAAGCCAGUGCUGAAUUUCACUCGCUUUGGAUCCGGAGCUGAGCUCACUCGUCAGGAGCCGUCCCGCACAGCUCUGUGCCGGGCAUCCCGCUGCAAGCGGGACCAUGGCUGCUUUUCGGGCUGCCACGCAUGAGGCGGCCCCAAGAGUGUUCGCCCCGCAGCGGGGAAAGCCCCGCUGCCGCAAACAGCAGAAUUCCUGCAGCUGGCUGCCGUCAGGCUGGUGCUUCCCUCCCUCGUACCUUGCCCUGAGGCCCGGUUUUGCACGCUGGGAAGACCUGGAAAUUGUUCCCCAGCCUGGAUGUAAGUGCAAUUGUAACCUCAGCUCACGGCCCUGCAAAGUGCCAAAGAGGCUUCCGAAUGGUGAACUCCUGCAUCAGCACCUACCCAACAGGAACCUCCUCAUGGGAGAGCUUUAAUAGCAGUAGCUGCUGAAGGAGAGGGAACUGCAGAAACACACUUGUUGCCAAACUGUGCAUUUAGUUGGAAGGAGGAGAAACAGAUGGGGAAAUCACUCUUCAGACAGUGUUUACUAGCACAAUCAGCACCUGAGGCAGCACUUAUUCAGGUGCUGAAAUUACAGAGAUAUUGGGGAACAGCAUGGAUGAAGAGAAACUGAGAUUAAGUGAUGGAGGAAAGUGCUUUGAUCUACAUCCAUAAGGACAAAAUGGGCAGGAAUAGGGACUAAGAAAAUGGAUGAGCUGUCUCUCUGUUGAGAAGUAGGUGUCCUCACUGAAGGCCCUAGAGAUGCUUAUGUGUCAUUAAGAUGAUAAAAGGAACUUUAACACCUGCUUGUUUGUGUGCAAACAAUGCCCCUUCAAGACCUAGAGCAUGCUGCAUGUAAUAAAGUACUAAUGGGGUGGAAACAAAUGCACUGGGGGGGAUGAAGUGGGGCCUGAAUUACAGAAUGGAGACAGCAAGCAAUACAUCUUCUUCCACUCUUUUGUUUAUUUUUUAAUCAUAAUUACCAAAUUUAAGCUAAGAGGUGUAAUUAAAAACUGGGAGUUUAAAAUAAGCAAUGAAUGUCUUGCUUGUAUCCACAGAAAGCAAGCCAGAUGCAUGCAAGUGUAGCCACUGUUUCUACAAUAUUCAAGUUAUCUGAGGACUGCUAUUUCAUUCUGCAGAGGAGACACUGCUAUUUCAAGUUAAGAAGUAUUUCUAUUUAAAAACUCACAUUUCAUUGUAAAAAUAUAAGAACUCUGAAAAACAGUCCUAUAUCUACAAAAUCAAGAAAUACAUUGGAAUCACAUAGUUUUAGAUGCUUCUAUUACUGCAAGCACCAGCUAUCAGAAAAAAAAAAGAAAAAAAUGAGCCACCUUUCUUUCUCUUCCACAUGGUUAUUAAUUUCUUCUAUUCCAGUUGUUCUCUACAGUAUGUAAACAGUGUCCUCACACACAGGAAGACAGAAGCUUCUGUUUUAUAAGGAGAAAUUCUUUUUUCCAGAUAAUCAAACUGGAAUUUGAUGCUUUUUCUACAAUGCUUUUAAGGAGCUAGCCUCCAAUUAUCUGCUUAUAUUUUCAAUUGUUGUUACAAUAAAAGUUUGGAUAUGCUCUGAUGAAGCCCAAGGAAAGGGAGAUAAACUUGCAUAUUUUGGUUUUUUAAGUCAAGGUGUUAUCUAAUACUGCUUGCAGCUGAGGAGAGUCCAUCUUGCACCUUUUAAUACAACAUUCAAAAUAUCUCUUUCAUUAUAGUUAAUUUCAGUAACAAUACAUACAUUUGUAUUUUUAAGUUAACUAUUUGCUAGUUUUGCAAGACUAGGGCUUACUAGUACACUUUCUCCUUGAAGGCUCUGUCCCCACCCCUGCCACAAUAUCUCUCUGCCAAACCAGCCUGAUGUUCUCAUAUUUUAAUUGAGGCUAACUGGAUCCAUCUGCCGCAUGACUUGGGGCUUACUCUGAACCUUAAAUUCCAUUCUUAUGCCAGAUCACUGAGAUUUGAGUCUUCUUUUAAGAGAAUGCUGUUUUCUCUUUAAAUUCUACAUGAGGGAAGUUUAGAUUUUAGCACAGAUGUUUGCACAGCAGUGAAGAGCUGAAUGAGACACUUGACACAUCUCUGCCAAACAUUCUAAAGUCAAAGGUAAUGAACAUAUGGCUGCUGCUGCCUCAUAGCCUGCUUGCUCUUAUUCAUGAUGCUCAAAGGUCACAUUUCUACCACUUGCUACACUUUUCUUGAGUCCUGGAUCUGGAAGUGUGCUUUGGCUGUCACAGAGAUCAUUUCUAACCUUGAGCAAAAUGAUGGGCAGUGCUUACAAACACCUGCAAAUGGAUACGAGAAAUACUUCUGCCAAGUA
Non-coding RNA from Cyanistes caeruleus (blue tit), 2834 nucleotides. Lineage: Eukaryota; Metazoa; Chordata; Aves; Passeriformes; Paridae. The record is from RefSeq and is a predicted model, not a curated record.